AAGUCGUAACAAGGUUUCCGUAGGUGAACCUGCGGAAGGAUCAUUACAAAAGGCGCCUUCGGGCGCUGCCUGUCUAACAGGAUACCCUUGAAUUUUGCACUUUCUGUUGCCUCGGUGGGCUUGCCCGCCAGCAGAGGCCCCUUACAAACCCUUUGUAAUUGCAGUAUCAGUCUGAGAAAAAAACAAAUAAUCAAAACUUUCAACAACGGAUCUCUUGGUUCUG
Molecule: unclassified non-coding RNA, 223 nt
Filed under: fungal sp.
Lineage: Eukaryota; Fungi
Also listed under: 1 other name
Description: partial internal transcribed spacer region
Rfam family: Eukaryotic small subunit ribosomal RNA (bases 1-46)
Source: RNAcentral